This 766-nucleotide ribosomal RNA is filed under the name Salmonella enterica. RNAcentral's name for it is "partial 23S ribosomal RNA". It matches the Rfam family "Bacterial large subunit ribosomal RNA", at positions 2037 to 2802 of the family's 2925-position model. Lineage: Bacteria; Pseudomonadati; Pseudomonadota; Gammaproteobacteria; Enterobacterales; Enterobacteriaceae. The record is from RNAcentral.
UGAAAUUGAACUCGCUGUGAAGAUGCAGUGUACCCGCGGCAAGACGGAAAGACCCCGUGAACCUUUACUAUAGCUUGACACUGAACAUUGAGCCUUGAUGUGUAGGAUAGGUGGGAGGCUUUGAAGCGUGGACGCCAGUCUGCGUGGAGCCGACCUUGAAAUACCACCCUUUAAUGUUUGAUGUUCUAACGUGGACCCGUGAUCCGGGUUGCGGACAGUGUCUGGUGGGUAGUUUGACUGGGGCGGUCUCCUCCUAAAGAGUAACGGAGGAGCACGAAGGUUGGCUAAUCCUGGUCGGACAUCAGGAGGUUAGUGCAAUGGCAUAAGCCAGCUUGACUGCGAGCGUGACGGCGCGAGCAGGUGCGAAAGCAGGUCAUAGUGAUCCGGUGGUUCUGAAUGGAAGGGCCAUCGCUCAACGGAUAAAAGGUACUCCGGGGAUAACAGGCUGAUACCGCCCAAGAGUUCAUAUCGACGGCGGUGUUUGGCACCUCGAUGUCGGCUCAUCACAUCCUGGGGCUGAAGUAGGUCCCAAGGGUAUGGCUGUUCGCCAUUUAAAGUGGUACGCGAGCUGGGUUUAGAACGUCGUGAGACAGUUCGGUCCCUAUCUGCCGUGGGCGCUGGAGAACUGAGGGGGGCUGCUCCUAGUACGAGAGGACCGGAGUGGACGCAUCACUGGUGUUCGGGUUGUCAUGCCAAUGGCACUGCCCGGUAGCUAAAUGCGGAAGAGAUAAGUGCUGAAAGCAUCUAAGCACGAAACUUGCCCCGA